GAUGAACGCUGGCGGCGUGCCUAAUACAUGCAAGUCGAACGCACAGCGAAAGGUGCUUGCACCUUUCAAGUGAGUGGCGGACGGGUGAGUAACACGUGGAUGACCUACCUCAAGGUUGGGGAUAACAUUUGGAAACAGAUGCUAAUACCGAAUAAAACUUCGUAUCGCAUGAUACAAGGUUAAAAGGCGCUACGGCGUCACCUAGAGAUGGAUCCGCGGUGCAUUAGUUAGUUGGUGGGUAAAGGCCGUACCAAGACAAUGAUGCAUAGCCGAGUUGAGAGACUGAUCGGCCACAUUGGGACUGAGACACGGGCCCAAACUCCUACGGGAGGCUGCAGUAGGGAAUCUUCCACAAUGGGCGAAAGCCUGAUGGAGCAACGCCGCGUGUGUGAUG
Molecule: ribosomal RNA, 394 nt
Filed under: uncultured bacterium
Lineage: Bacteria
Description: bacterial SSU rRNA
Rfam family: Bacterial small subunit ribosomal RNA
Source: RNAcentral